GGACAAAAAUGAGAUACAAGUCAAAAAAAAUUAUUUUGAAACAAAUAUUGCUCCUGCUAAUAUUUUGUUUCUAAUAAUUUUGUUGUUCCUGUUUUUUUGGUCUUCAAAUGAUUAGACACGUGUUUCACCUCCACAUCAGCAUAUUCNAUGCCUGAUGUAUUUGCUUUGCUGUCGGAUCUAAAAAACAAUAAAAAUAAUAAGACAGAACAUCACCAAAAAAUAAAAAGGUAAAUAUGGAUAAAAAAUACGUACUUUGUAACCCCUGUAACCCCAUGUUAG
RNAcentral lists this long non-coding RNA (279 nucleotides) under Vigna radiata. RNAcentral's name for it is "long non-coding RNA (VRAD_LNC007595)". The record is from RNAcentral. Lineage: Eukaryota; Viridiplantae; Streptophyta; Magnoliopsida; Fabales; Fabaceae.